RNAcentral lists this ribosomal RNA (844 nucleotides) under Rhodococcus sp. 1130-273-17. RNAcentral describes it as "bacterial SSU rRNA". It matches the Rfam family "Bacterial small subunit ribosomal RNA", at positions 55 to 928 of the family's 1533-position model. The record is from RNAcentral. Lineage: Bacteria; Bacillati; Actinomycetota; Actinomycetes; Mycobacteriales; Nocardiaceae.
AUGCAAGUCGAGCGGUAAGGCCUUUCGGGGUACACGAGCGGCGAACGGGUGAGUAACACGUGGGUGAUCUGCCCUGCACUUCGGGAUAAGCCUGGGAAACUGGGUCUAAUACCGGAUAUGACCUCCUAUCGCAUGGUGGGUGGUGGAAAGAUUUAUCGGUGCAGGAUGGGCCCGCGGCCUAUCAGCUUGUUGGUGGGGUAAUGGCCUACCAAGGCGACGACGGGUAGCCGACCUGAGAGGGUGACCGGCCACACUGGGACUGAGACACGGCCCAGACUCCUACGGGAGGCAGCAGUGGGGAAUAUUGCACAAUGGGCGAAAGCCUGAUGCAGCGACGCCGCGUGAGGGAUGACGGCCUUCGGGUUGUAAACCUCUUUCAGCAGGGACGAAGCGCAAGUGACGGUACCUGCAGAAGAAGCACCGGCUAACUACGUGCCAGCAGCCGCGGUAAUACGUAGGGUGCAAGCGUUGUCCGGAAUUACUGGGCGUAAAGAGUUCGUAGGCGGUUUGUCGCGUCGUUUGUGAAAACCAGCAGCUCAACUGCUGGCUUGCAGGCGAUACGGGCAGACUUGAGUACUGCAGGGGAGACUGGAAUUCCUGGUGUAGCGGUGAAAUGCGCAGAUAUCAGGAGGAACACCGGUGGCGAAGGCGGGUCUCUGGGCAGUAACUGACGCUGAGGAACGAAAGCGUGGGUAGCGAACAGGAUUAGAUACCCUGGUAGUCCACGCCGUAAACGUGGGCGCUAGGUGUGGGUUCCUUCCACGAAUCCGUGCCGUAGCUACGCAUAAGCGCCCGCUGGGGAGUCCGCCCAGGUAACUCAAAGAAUUGCGGGCCGCCACCGCGA